RNAcentral lists this ribosomal RNA (498 nucleotides) under uncultured bacterium. RNAcentral's name for it is "partial 16S ribosomal RNA". It matches the Rfam family "Bacterial small subunit ribosomal RNA", at positions 30 to 523 of the family's 1533-position model. The record is from RNAcentral.
AUUGAACGCUGGCGGCAUGCCUUACACAUGCAAGUCGAACGGUAACAGGUCUUCGGAUGCUGACGAGUGGCGAACGGGUGAGUAAUACAUCGGAACGUGCCUAGUAGUGGGGGAUAACUACUCGAAAGAGUGGCUAAUACCGCAUGAGAUCUACGGAUGAAAGCAGGGGAUCGCAAGACCUUGUGCUACUAGAGCGGCAGAUGGCAGAUUAGGUAGUUGGUGGGAUAAAAGCUUACCAAGCCGACGAUCUGUGGCUGGUCUGAGAGGACGAUCAGCCACAAUGGGACUGAGACACGGCCCAGACUCCUACGGGAGGCAGCAGUGGGGAAUUUUGGACAAUGGGCGCAAGCCUGAUCCAGCAAUGCCGCGUGCAGGAUGAAGGCCUUCGGGUUGUAAACUGCUUUUGUACGGAACGAAAAGCCCCGGGUUAAUACCCUGGGGUCAUGACGGUACCGUAAGAAUAAGCACCGGCUAACUACGUGCCAGCAGCCGCCGUAA